CAUUUCUAUCAUAUUUCUUUUAUAUUCCCUGUCAGCAUUUUGUUUAAAUAUUAUUCUCUUGAUUAUUAUCUGGCUAUCAUUUCUGAAAUUUCAAAAAAAUGCUGGCUUGGCGUCCAACAUUAUCAUAUUGGCUAAACAGUUGGAACAUGUAAACCUUGCCUAAUUCUAAUUUGUGAACAACUUGUCAAACAAAAAAUUACGCGUCCUUUAACGUACGAGAACCUUCUAGAAGCGAAGCACUGGAAAAAUUUGGUAGAAUCAAUAGCUGCCAUUUAAUUGAAAAGUGUUUGCGUCGUUUGAUGUCUAGAGCUACAAAGAAAACAAAAUCAUUGUGUGGUCCUACAAAAAAAAACAGAGUUUUGCCGGCAAAAUUGAGGACAAGGGAACUUAUAGACUCGGAUUUCAAAUAAAAUAAAUUUGAGCAGAAGCCAGAAAGGGUGAGCCAAGCGAAAAGGAAACAAAAGGAAGCAGAUUUGGAUGUAAUCGAUUUAGAAGAAGGAAGUUCGUCGCCAUCGUCAACAAGUUCUACUCGAUCGUCUGUUUGCAGUAAAAGCCAAUCUAGUCAAAUUACCACUCAGUCAUCGACGUCAACGCCAACUAAACAAUUUAAUCCUCUAAAAGCUGCUUUUUAAAAAGCGUGUUCCCAAAAAGGUACGAAAUUUACAGUAGUAAUUGAUAUACACCUUUUUAUUAAUAAAACGGAAGGUACUCGCAAUCUGGCACGUAUCGCACGCACACCAUCUUCAAAAGAGACACAACUCAAAAAUCAGAUCCGAAAAUAUAACUGUUUGUGGAUCGUACGGAUUCAAUGCAAUUAAUAC
This is a long non-coding RNA of Rhagoletis zephyria (snowberry fruit fly), 821 nucleotides long. RefSeq lists it as uncharacterized. The record is from RefSeq and is a predicted model, not a curated record. Lineage: Eukaryota; Metazoa; Arthropoda; Insecta; Diptera; Tephritidae.